CGUCAGGUAGCUCAGUGGUUUAGAGCAGUCGCCCGGCAAGCGAAAAGACCCGGGUUCGACUCCCGCGCUCUCGA
RNAcentral lists this transfer RNA (74 nucleotides) under Harpegnathos saltator (Jerdon's jumping ant). It matches the Rfam family "tRNA". From Rfam's summary of the family: Transfer RNA (tRNA) molecules are approximately 80 nucleotides in length. Their secondary structure includes four short double-helical elements and three loops (D, anti-codon, and T loops). Further hydrogen bonds mediate the characteristic L-shaped molecular structure. tRNAs have two regions of fundamental functional importance: the anti-codon, which is responsible for specific mRNA codon recognition, and the 3' end, to which the tRNAs corresponding amino acid is attached (by aminoacyl-tRNA synthetases). tRNAs cope with the degeneracy of the genetic code in two manners: having more than one tRNA (with a specific anti-codon) for a particular amino acid; and 'wobble' base-pairing, i.e. permitting non-standard base-pairing at the 3rd anti-codon position. The record is from Rfam by way of RNAcentral. Lineage: Eukaryota; Metazoa; Arthropoda; Insecta; Hymenoptera; Formicidae.